AGGGAGCGUAGGCGGCUGAUUAAGUCAGCGGUGAAAGGUAGCAGCUUAACUGUUUUACAUGCCGUUGAUACUGGUUAGCUUGAGUUGACAGAAGGCAGAUAGAAUUCCUGGUGUAGCGGUGAAAUGCUUAGAUACCAGGAGGAAUACCGAUUGCGAAGGCAGUCUGCUGCAGUCACACUGACGCUGAGGCUCGAAGGUGCGGGGAUCAAACAGGAUUAGAUACCCGUAGU
This 230-nucleotide ribosomal RNA is filed under the name uncultured bacterium. RNAcentral describes it as "partial 16S ribosomal RNA". It matches the Rfam family "Bacterial small subunit ribosomal RNA", at positions 564 to 794 of the family's 1533-position model. The record is from RNAcentral.